Molecule: non-coding RNA, 5982 nt
Organism: Monodelphis domestica (gray short-tailed opossum)
Lineage: Eukaryota; Metazoa; Chordata; Mammalia; Didelphimorphia; Didelphidae
Source: RefSeq, a predicted model, not a curated record
AUUUGAGAUCCCAGACAAAUUUUGAUAGAUUUUGGAAUUCUCUGUUCUGGUAAUCUGUUUUGCUCUAGAGUAUAGUCUGGUUUUGCCUUAAGGUUAUGUCAUCUUCGAGUUCUGGCUUUGUUCUAAGAGUAUUCUGAGAAUUCUGUUGCGCUUCACAGGUUUUAUUACCUGGGAGUCCUGGUUUUGCUCUCAGAGAUCUGUUUUUGCUCCAGUGGUCUGUUCUGUUCUGGAAAUCUGGAUCCAGUCAAAGUUAGUGGGCUACUGGAUAUGGUGCUAAGCUCAGAGCCCGGUUCCAAGAAAAGACAUCUCUUGGAAUCGCAGGGAGCCCUUCAGGUUCACAAAUGGAUGAUUUGCAGCCCCAGAGAGGAGAGGAAGCUAAAAAUCAGACUUAAGAACAUUUUACAGAUGAGAUGAAGAAUUUGAGACUCAGAAGGGUUCAAUGAUUUGUCCAAGACCACAUAGUAAGUGAUGAUGAAUCCUAGAUUAGGACCCAGAUUCCAAACUCAAAAUGAGCAUAUUUUAUACUCUACCAGCAUUGCUUCCUAUAAUAAUGGAGAUGUUCAUUUCUGAAACAAAAACCCCUGAUUAAAUAAGCAAUUAAUUUAAUAAAGAGAUAGAUGAGAAAGGAACCAACAACGCUUAUUUGCCAGGAUACUACGCCUUCAUCUUGAAUGCUGAAUCUCAGAAGGGUAAUUGGAGGCAAAUGGCCCCUGUAAAACAGGAUGGAGACAGCAUUCAAGCAAAGUGCCUAUAAUCUUUGACUCUACAAAGCAUCUCAAAGAUCCUCCAUCAGUCUUCUCUUCUCCUCAGGGUUGGGACGGAACACGUCUAUGGGACCAGGUCUAAUUGCUUGCUGUUCAGAGAGGCAUUCUGCAAGAGGGAGAGAGAAUCAAACACUAUCAGUUCCCAUGGAUGUGAAGCAGUGUGUGGUAGAGGCAGGCCAUAGAGAGCUGAGCUUGGAGCCAUGGUGGUUGGGUUCUAAAUUCUAUCUUUCAUACCUAAUGGAUGUACUAAUUGGGGAAGGCACCUUUCAGUGCCUUAGGCGGCUCUCUAAGACUUCAUGAAGUUUCAAAAGUACUGAACUUUCCUACUUUAAUUUCCUUAAGAAGAUAGGGAAUUUCCUCUUCCCCAAGUUUCCUGUACUGAUGAAAUCAGAUGUCUAGUCCUUGUCCCUAUUUGUCAUGUAGAAAAAGAAAAGGCCAUCAUUGAUUAUUGUCAGUCUCACUUUUUGUCCAGAAUAUUGGUAUGCCUACCUCACAGAUGAAGAAACUGAGGCUCAUGAAUGUAGUAUGACUUGCUUAUGGUCAUACCCUGUGCAUGGCAUAGGUGGAACUCAAAUUCAAGACAUCUGACUCCCUCCAGAUCAUCGGAACAAUAAUAAAAACUCACAUUGAUGGAGCAUUUAAAGGUUUAACAAAGGGGUGUUCUCACAAUUUUGAGGUACAGAAUAUGUAGUAUUAUGCCCCUUUUACUGAUAAGGAAACAGAGAUUCUGAGAGACUGGCUUGCCUAAGGUCAUAUAGCAAUUAUUAGAAGUAGGAUUUGAAUGCGACUGUCCUGGUUGCAUGUCUAGGGUGAAUGAAAAAGCAUUUGCUAAAUGUACACUAGUUCUAAGUACUGGGGGUACAAAUGGAAAAAGAAGACAUUGUUUGCUCUCAAGGAGCUCAUGCUGUAAUUGGGGGAGACAAGACCUAGUAUAGAGUUCGUUUGCAGGACAGAUAGCUAUGCCCAGGAAUCCGUAGGGUACAUUGGGAUGUUCCCCAAAAUGGAGAUUUUUGAUGGGAUGACCCAUACUUUCAAGACAUGAGGAGGCCAUAAAGUCAGUGUAGGAAGGGGCUUCUGGAAUUCUUCUGCCAGGAGGAGAGAUGGAGCUCAGUGUCCAUCUAGGACAGAAAGAGCAGAAUGUAGCCUUGGCAAGAAGGUUGGAGUAGGGCCUGGAUAGUCUUGAUGGGAGAAGGAGAUUGGAAUGGGACAUCCAUCCUUACUUGAUGCUAGCUGUCCCUGGAACCCUCCAUUUGCCCCAUUAUACCAUAUUGGGCAACAAGAAAAAGAAAAUUCUAAACUCUGUCACCUUGAGUUUUCCUCCUCUUUUGAGGCCCAUAUCUAAUUUGAGUUCCUGCUCAAAAACAUUGACCACUACAGAAAAGCAUAGGUAUUCUACUUUGUAGAGCUUUAUUUCAUUUCUAAGUGAGAGUUUGCUUAAGUUUAUGUCAUUGUACUUUUUCUAAAAUGGGGGGGGGGAAAUCCAAGUUAUCAGGGAUGCACACACAUACACACACACAUAUAUAUACACACAUUACAAAUACUUAGUGAUUUGUGUUUCAUACCAUUUAGCAUGUGCAUAAAUUUACUUUUAAUAAUUUAGAAGUAGUGGUUCAAAUCUAUCAUAUUAAAGAUUUUGAACUUAAAAGCUUUCAUUUGAUUUGUUUUGAUAGAGGAAAAACAAGUUUCCUUACUCUGAAGAAAAUAAUAAGACUACUAGCCAUUAUGCAUACAAUAGCUUUUUUGCCUUAUGACAUAUAAUCUUUGAUCAGCUCUUAGGGGAACUUGUAUUGUCUCUUCUUAGGAUUUAUCAGCAACUUAAUGCAGUGAUCCCUACACAUCUGGAAGGAGAAAACUUGCAUGUAAAGGGAAUGUUGGAAGGAGUCUUUCCUUUUUUCUGUCUAGUUUGUUCUAGCUCAAAAGUUGGGACUAGAGGAAAGAACCUCUCCAGAUUUAUUAUUGUUAUUGAUAUGUUCUAAAAUGGAGAAAUAUCACCUCCAUCUUAUCAUCUAGUUUCAAAAGAGAGAGGGGAACUCUUCCUACACUGGAAUUUUCCUACUUUUUAUGAGACUUAGCCUUGAAUUGUGUUUCCAACAUUUCCAACUUUAUGAUCCUUGAAGAGUCACCCAAACCUCAGUUUCCUCAGUGGUCAAAUGAGAAUAAUAAUUCUUGUGAUUUCUAUCUCCCGGAUUUAGAGGGAAAAUGAUUUGCAAAUCUUAAAGUGCUACUUUGAUGCCACCUACAUAUUCUAUUACUCCACAAACUCCAGUAAGGCUAGAUGAGGAGGAGAAAAAGUGGAAAGGGGGGAAACAGGUAGUAUUAGAAAGAUUUACACUAGAGCAGUCCAAAAGUCUGGGUAGAGGUGAGCCUGAAUGUAAGAGCAGAAUGAGGGUUCCAGAAGAAAUAUACUUCUUUUUCCUUCACUCUAGAUGAUAUUAAGUCCAAUAUAGAAGUGAUUUCCUUGAUCUGUAAAAGGAGGAUGAUAAUAGUUUUUCUGUUUUAUUUCAUAAAAUCCAGCUCAUGAAAUGCAGAGGAAAUCAAAGCUUGUUUUCUUCCACCUGAUCUUUAUUCAUCACUCUUUUGCUCUGAUCUAGUUCUUCUCUUCCCUAAACAUUUUCCUUCAACAGUUAUUUCAUUGUUUUCUACUUAUUUAGCAUCUCUGGGCAUUGCCAGUCAACCUGACCUUUGUCUUGCCACUGGACUUGGAUGUCUCAGGAAAAGAGAGACUGAUGACUUUGUGCAGCUCUGUCUGUAUCCCCUAAAUUCAUUUCGUGCACAAGUCAAGUGAUGACACCGGUCCUCUUCAAAACGAAGAAUAAACAACAAUUUAUCCUUUGAAGUGAACUCUAAAGUGAAUAGAAUUUUAACCAUAAUUUAUGACAUCCUUUAAUUGACGAUUCUUUCCACAAAUCUCACUUAGAACAGAUCUGUCUUAUGAUAUAAAGUUGAUUAAAUGAAGUAAGAAGCCAUAUGAAGGAACUUGCAUCAAACUUUUAAAAACUAUUUCAUGUGCUGAUGUACGUAACUAGGAAUUAGUAUAUACAAGUAUAGGUUUGGCUGAUAAAACAUGUGCCCUUAGUAACAACAAUAACAACUAACUUUUCUAUGGAGCUUUAAGUUUUGUGAAGAAAUUUUAGUCUCAUUGCAAAUCUGUGAGAUCCAUGUUUUUAUUGAAGGGAAACGAAGCUCAAAAAAGGUUAAAUAACUUAUCAACGAGAUGUAGCUGACAAGAGUGUGGGGCAGGAUGACAAACGCAGCUCUUUCUGACUCCAAGUGCAGCACUUUAUGAACCUGUGCCAUGUAGCCAAUACCUAGGAAACCUUAGUUUAUUUUUUAAGCGAUCUGUUUCUUAAUGCAAAAUGGCUGUGUAAACUCAGAAUUCUCUUGAUAAAACGUAAAAUUGCAGCCCCCAAACAUAUUAACCACACAGGAAGGAAUGCCUUGAAGGAUCGGUUAUGGUAUCAUGUCACACUUUGAAUCAAACCCAAGUUGAUGAUGACUGAACGUUCCCUUACUUCCUUCGGACAACUGCUUGUUGACCCAAUUGGCAGCCUUUCUUGGCAAGUCUCAGUAGAGGGAAUGACUGGAUGGACAUGGCAUUCUAUGAAAAUGGCACUAUAUUAAAAAAAACAACUGAAAGAAAGCUUUUAAAGUGAUGUUUAAGAGAGUAUAAUAUGGAAGAUUAAUGCUUGAGUUAAAUUCCUCCCAAAUCUGGCAAUUUUUUUUCUAAAUGGAAGUGCUGAUUCAUUCAAUAUUUGAAGAAGACCAGGACAACAUUUUUUUCUCUGCUCUUUUCCUCUUUCUAUGUCAAAUCCCUAUUUUUUUUUUUUACUGUCGCUGUCUUUCCUCAGUUUUAUUGCUUCAAAUCCUCUUACCCCGAUUGAUUUUCAGCACACACAGUGUUUUUUCCACUCUUCCUGCCUGCCCUGAUUGCAGUGAAGCAUAGGAAAACCACAUUAGUUAGGAUUAGAGUACAAGAAAUUUCAUAUAUCUUGUGUGUUUUGAUUUUCAUAACCUCUUUGUGAAAUAGGUGAGGUAGGCAGGGUAUUAUUGUUCCAUUCUUCGGAAAAUUACCUUGUAGUGACACAUAGCACCGUCUUCAGAGAAGCAAGAAAUCCUGCAUUUCUUCUCCCAUAUUGCUUUGCUGCAAAUUCUACAAAUCCUGGCUACCUUCCUUUUUCUCUUCUUCUUUUCAUUCCUUGUUUAUGGGGUCUACAAUUUAGAUAAUAGAUAACUCUUCCAGGUUUUUUUUUUAUUCUUUUUUGGGUCAUGGAUUAUAUUGGCAUUCAGAUGAAGCCUGUGAUCCCCUUCUCAGGAUAAUGUUUUUUAAUUGCACACAAUAAAAUACAGAGAAUUACAAGGGUUAGUGAAAAUAAAAGUGUAUUUUUUUCUACUUGUGUUCAGGCCUCCCUGAAAUUUUUCAGGGCAAGUUUGUGGUCCCUGAGUAAAGGGAUCACAAUAUAAUCCAGUUACAUCAUUUUACAAGUGAGAAAACUGAGACCCAGAAUAUGAAGUGACUUGCCCAUGUCCUAUAGGUAAAGAGAGAGAAACUAGAUUAGAUGAGAGGGGAGAGUCAUCAGAGGGAUGAAGACAUAGAGGCACUUUAUUUCACUUUAAAAGCCUUGUCAAAAAAUUAGGCAUAGCCAAAGGGCACUAAAAGACUUUCUACCCUUUGAUCCAGCCAUAGCACUGUUGGGUUUGUACCCCAAAGAGAUAAUGGGGAAAAAGACUUGUACAAGAAUAUUCAUAGCUGUGCUCUUUGUGGUGGCCAAAAAUUGGAAAAUGAGGGGAUACCUUUCAAUUGGGGAAUAGCUGAAGACAUUGUGGUAAAUGUUGGUGAUGGAAUACUAUCGUGCUAAAAGGAAUAAUCAAGUGGAGGAAUUCCAUGGAGACUGGAACAACCUCCAGGAAGUGAUAUAGAGUGAGAGGAGCAGAACCAGGAGAACAUUGUACACAGAGACUGAUACACUGUGGUACAAUCGAACUUAAUGGACUUCUCCAUUAGUGGCAAUGCAGUGAUCCUGAACAACCCAGGGCGAUCUACGGAAAAAAAUACUAUCCACAUUCAGAGUUAAAAUGGUGGGAGUAGAAACACAGGAGAAAAACAAUUACUUGAUUACAUGGGUUGUGGGGAUACUGCUGGGGAUGUAGACUCUAAAUGAACAUCCUAGUGCAAACACCAACAAUAUGGAAAUGAGUUUUGAUCAAGGACACAAGUAAU